UCAGCUUAACACAUGCAAGUCGAGCGGGGANGUACUUCGGUAACUGACCUAGCCGGCGGACGGGUGAGUAAUGCUUAGGAAUCUGCCUAUUAGUUGGGGGACAACAUUCCGAAAGGAAUGCUAAUACCGCAUACGUCCUACGGGGGAAAGCAGGGGAUCUUCGGACCUUGCGCUAAUAGAUGAGCCUAAGUCGGAUUAGCUAGUUGGUGGGCGUAAAGGCCUACCAAGGCGACGAUCUGUAGCGGGUCUGAGAGUGAUGAUCCGCCACACUGGGACUGAGACACUGGCCCAGACUCCUACGGGAGGCAGCAGUGGGGAAUAUUGGACAAUGGGCGGAAGCCUGAUCCAGCCAUGCCGCGUGUGUGAAGAAGGCCUUUUGGUUGUAAAGCACUUUAAGCGAGAGAGGCUCCUUUAUUAUACCUAAGUGAUGACG
Molecule: ribosomal RNA, 433 nt
Filed under: uncultured bacterium
Lineage: Bacteria
Description: bacterial SSU rRNA
Rfam family: Bacterial small subunit ribosomal RNA
Source: RNAcentral